Unclassified non-coding RNA from Saimiri boliviensis boliviensis (Bolivian squirrel monkey), 96 nucleotides. It matches the Rfam family "Y RNA". From Rfam's summary of the family: Y RNAs are components of the Ro ribonucleoprotein particle (Ro RNP), in association with Ro60 and La proteins. The Y RNAs and Ro60 and La proteins are well conserved, but the function of the Ro RNP is not known. The record is from Ensembl. Lineage: Eukaryota; Metazoa; Chordata; Mammalia; Primates; Cebidae.
AGCUGGUCCGAUGGUAGUGGGUUAUCAGAACUUAUUAACAUUAGUGUCACUGAAGUUGGUAUACAAUCCCCCACUGCUAAAUUUGACUGGCUUAAA